GUGAGACUCUGCUUUCUCUUUGAUAAUAUCCUUACAAUCUGAAGAGUCCAGCCUGGAAGAAAUUCCCGUUCGAAACAUGGAAUGGCGGAGGUGGCGGAGGAGAACAUCGGCAACGGGUCGUAGUGAAGGAUUGGGGUUGUGGCCCUUAGAAUUGAUGAAUAGUACCGAAUCAUCCAGUAUUACUCCCUUCACCGCUUGCCCAACCAUGAUUGAAAGAAAAUAGUACAGAACCCUCCUCUAGUAUUCCAUAUACUUGGUUCAGUUCAUCGCCAACCCAUCCAUGUUCG
Molecule: unclassified non-coding RNA, 287 nt
Filed under: Hevea brasiliensis (rubber tree)
Lineage: Eukaryota; Viridiplantae; Streptophyta; Magnoliopsida; Malpighiales; Euphorbiaceae
Source: RNAcentral